CGUGGGAUACUGCAGGUCAAGAGGAUUACAAUACGUUAACUGAGCUAUCACGGGGCUGAUGUCUUUAUACUUGCAUUCUCUCUCAUUAGCAAGGCCAGUUAUGAAAAUAUAUCAAAAAGGUGGUUCCUGAAUUGAGGCAUUAUGCUCCUGGGGUCCUAGUGGUUCUUGUUGGAACAAAACUUGGUGCAAAAGAAGAUAUCACUCCAACAAAAAGAAGCACCAAAAAGCUUACGACUUCAGUACAUGAAUUAGAAGUAGUUCUUUUUUUUUUUUUGUGUUAUGAGCUUGGAUUCAAUCUUCCAUUAUGUUGAACGUGGAAUAUGAACACAAUGUAAUCUGAAUUUUUGGGAUAUUUAUUUAGUGCAAUUUUGGAUAUAUUGAUGGUUCAACAAAUUUUAGUA
Rhododendron vialii is the source of this 401-nucleotide long non-coding RNA. RefSeq lists it as uncharacterized. Lineage: Eukaryota; Viridiplantae; Streptophyta; Magnoliopsida; Ericales; Ericaceae. The record is from RefSeq and is a predicted model, not a curated record. The transcript has 4 exons.